This is a long non-coding RNA of Saccostrea cuccullata (small rock oyster), 515 nucleotides long. RefSeq lists it as uncharacterized. The transcript is spliced from 4 exons. Lineage: Eukaryota; Metazoa; Mollusca; Bivalvia; Ostreida; Ostreidae. The record is from RefSeq and is a predicted model, not a curated record.
AUUGGACCAUCUCCAACAAAUGUGUCACUUUUCACAUGUUCUGCAGACAUUGAUUGCCACGUAUUGCUUUAUCUAAAACGAGGCCACAACAACUUAUGUCCUGAGGUUUCCGCCCGUCCAGUACCUGGAAGUACUGUGCACAUUUUUAGAACUCCUGACUGUGAUAACUGUUCCGUGGAUGUUCUAAUCCAUACUUCUAUCUCCCGCCCAACACAGAGGGCACAGCUUUGUGUCGAGGCAUCGGACUACAACUCUGGACUGGACGACCUAAGAUGUUACUUUGUGGAUUACGAAAUACAUGCAUCAAGACGCCAGACCCUGAGUGUUACACACACUACCACAUCAACAUCUCGACGAACGCUUCAGGUUAACCUUGGAAACGUGAUUGGAUAAUCUAAGUAGUAAAAAUAUAAACAGAUUGUCAAUGAAAUUAAUGAUGACACUUUAAGGAUUUGAACACUUGUCGUCUAUAACAAGGAAAGAUGUCAUUAAAAUGGAUUUAUAGCUUUUACAUG